CCCUUAGAUGUUCUGGGCCGCACGCGUGCUACACUGAGUGGAUCAGCGGGUCUGGUUGCGCGAAAGCGUUUCCUAAUCUUUAAAUCCGCUCGUGAUGGGGAUUGACGGUUGCAAUUUUCUGUCAUGAACGAGGAAUUCCUAGUAAGCGCGAGUCAUCAGCUCGCGUUGAUUACGUCCCUGCCCUUUGUACACACCGCCCGUCGCUACUACCGAUUGAAUGGUUUAGUGAGGACUCCUGAUUGGCGCCGCCGCCCCGGCAACGGAGCAGCGGACUGCCGAAAAGUUGUCCAAACUUGAUCAUUUAGAGGAAGUAAAAGUCGUAACA
This 325-nucleotide ribosomal RNA is filed under the name uncultured eukaryote. Its description in RNAcentral is "partial 18S ribosomal RNA". It matches the Rfam family "Eukaryotic small subunit ribosomal RNA", at positions 1470 to 1796 of the family's 1831-position model. The record is from RNAcentral.